UCAGUUCUGCUUGCUGUCGGCACCGCUGCGUUACCCGGAACCGCCGGGCCGAACAGCAUGACGUCCGCUUUGGAGAACUACAUCAACCGUAUCCUCAAGCUGGCCGCCGCGGGCAGUCUGUUUUCAAUUUGCAUUCCCUAAGAAACACUUUCUUUGAUUCAGUUAUCAGGAACUGUUGCCGUUAUUACAUCAGAUGGGAGAAUGAUUGUGGGAACACUGAAAGGUUUUGACCAGACCAUUAAUUUGAUUUUGGAUGAAAGCCAUGAACGAGUAUUCAGCUCUUCACAGGGGGUAGAACAAGUGGUACUAGGAUUAUACAUUGUAAGAGGUGACAACGUUGCAGUCAUUGGAGAAAUCGAUGAAGAAACAGAUUCUGCGCUUGAUUUGGGGAAUAUUCGAGCAGAACCUUUAAAUUCUGUAGCACACUGAGGAAAAACUACAUACUUGGACAUCUGUAAAUCUUUGUACAGAAACUGAUUAUUCUGAGGAUGAUAUAUGGAGUUUUUAUGAGUGUGUCACUGGAUUUUGACUCCUUAUUGAUUCAUUGUAAUAUGUAAAUUAAAAUAUUUCUACAUUUUAUUG
RNAcentral lists this long non-coding RNA (582 nucleotides) under Homo sapiens (human). Its description in RNAcentral is "HSALNT0127893". The record is from RNAcentral. Lineage: Eukaryota; Metazoa; Chordata; Mammalia; Primates; Hominidae.